GCCACGGCACGGCCCGGCUCCGCGCAGCGCCAGGGGGCGCCCUGCGGCCGCCGCCGUUCCCCGCCGCUCGGGGCCGAGCCGAGCCGGGCCGGGCCGGGGAGGAGCGGCGGCCCGUCCGGUCGCACUCGUGCAGGCCGAGGUGGGGCCCUGCCCGCUGCCGCCGCAGCUCCGCGCCGCCAUGAGCGCCGGGCAGGCCGCGGGGGAGGCGGCGGACACUGCCGCGCACUCGGCGCUGCCCAGGGUGCUCUCCGCCCUCUUCUACGGGACCUGCUCCUUCCUCAUCGUGCUGGUCAACAAGGCCGUGCUCAGCGCCUACAGCUUCCCAUCACCAAUGUUUCUUGGAAUCGGACAGAUGGCAGCCACCGUACUUAUCUUGUAUGUGUCAAAAUUAAAUAAGAUUGUUCACUUCCCCGAUUUUGACAAAAGUAUACCUGUGAAGUUGUUUCCUCUGCCUCUGAUUUACGUUGGAAACCACAUAAGUGGAUUAUCAAGUACCAGCAAACUCAGUUUGCCGAUGUUUACAGUGCUCAGGAAGUUUACCAUUCCACUUACUUUACUGCUGGAAAUCAUCAUACUUGGGAAACGAUAUCCACUGAGUAUUAUAGUCAGCGUAUUUGCCAUCGUUCUUGGGGCUUUUAUAGCAGCUGGGUCUGAUCUGUCUUUUAAUCUGGAGGGCUACACCUUUGUAUUCCUAAAUGAUAUCUUCACAGCAGCAAAUGGAGUUUACCUAAAGCAGAAAAUGGAUCCAAAGGAGUUGGGAAAAUAUGGCGUCCUUUUCUAUAAUGCUUGUUUCAUGGUGGUACCAACAGUUAUUAUUAGCUUUUCUACUGGAGACUUUCAGCAGGCAACACAUUUCCAGCACUGGACAAAUUUUUUAUUUGUCUUUCAAUUUAUUCUUUCCUGCUUUUUGGGGUUUCUCUUGAUGUAUUCUACUGUCCUAUGCAGUCAUUACAAUUCUGCGCUCACAACGACAGUAGUUGGUGCCAUCAAGCUUUUGUUUCCUUUCAGAAUAUAUCCAUUGCUUACAUUGGAAUGUUGAUUGGUGGAGAUUACAUAUUCUCCGUGUUAAACUUCAUAGGACUAAAUAUUUGUAUGGCAGGAGGAUUGAGAUAUUCGUUUUUAACCUUAAGAGGAAACAGCAAGCCUACGCAACCUGGGGAUGAAGAGGAUGCACUUCCUGAGUCAGUUAGCCAAAAUGCCUGACUUGAAAGAGACUGAAGAUAGAAGUUGGAUUAGCAUUGCUGAGAACUUAAAUAAGUGUAUGCUGGAACAUAUUUGGAACGAGAAAAAAAUCUACCUCAGUUGCCACAGGUGUACACACAAUUCGUUGGUUCAGAGAUAUUCUUGCACACCAUGUUUUUUACAUGUGGACAAGUUUAAUUUUAGCCUUUUUUUUUCACUAUAAGCGAAUUUAUAGGAAGAAAUGCCAUGAGCACAUCUCAAGUUUUAAAUUUUAUUCGUUUACCUGUACUUCGGUGCUAUUUGUACUCAACGAGACCCAUGAGUUCUGUUUCAGUGUGUGCCAGUACUCUCUGGGGCAGAACUCCCAGUAAAGAUGCUGAGCCUUGAUUCACUGUUGCCUUAUGCCAUAUGCAAUCUUUGAUAUCAGUGAAGAGAUGAAAGAUGCUGGUGAUUCAGAAUGAUGUCACGUACGCAUUUGGUCUUGUUUAAAGUGACUGUGGAACGUAUAGAGCAAAGAGAAGAUGUGCCCCAAGAUUGUUACCUGUGUGUUGACUAAAGAAUUCAGGAUAUGGCCAGGUGUGUUCGCUAUGCAUUUUGUAGACAUUAUCUCUCAAUCUUUUCCUUAUCCUCAAUAACAUCAUGGUGUUCUGCUGCAGUUGUCACUGUUGGCUAUAAGUGAACCCUGGUAACUUUUCUGCAGGAUCAAGGAGAGAAGGAAGUUGAGAGAUGAUUUUUUAGUAUUUAAAAAUAUAUUUUUUGUGUGUGUGAGCCAGUAUCAAACAGAUAAUGAGGAUAGAUAACAAAGGUAAAUGUAUUUUUGUUUAGGUACAUUAAUCUUUUUAUGUCACAGUCCCCUUCUCUGAUGUUUUGUCUAUACUUACUGUUUAAUGCUGCAGAGAAGUAAUACUACUAUUUAUGAACUACAAGAAGGGAGACUGAUUGAUAUAUGGAAGACUAACUGGUGCUUAAGUGAGGAGAAAGGACCAGUGUCCUGCUGUAUCUUAUACAUGCAGUGAAAGCUUAUCUGAUAUUAGUUCAUGCUUAAAAUUCAGAGCAAGCAAUUUUAACAAGCUCAGACCAGAAUGUGGUGGUCUGGGUUGUCAUUGGGGAUAAUAAUGGCACCACUCUGUAUCUUUAUUUCCCUUUCUGAAAAUACAGUUGAUAAUGCUUGAUAAUGUUCUCAAUAAUGUUCUUGAUAAUAUUCUCAAUUCCCUGCAAGCAUGAGCAAAGAUUUUUAAAAAUAAUCAAAAUAGGAUUUUGGAAGACCUUGACAUGGAACCAGGAUGAUCUAAUGGCUUGCGUGAUCCCUGCUUAAAUUAAAAUACAGCUAAAACUGAAAAGCAUUUAUCUGUACGUAACACGUGAGUGACCAGACUAGAUUAGAUCUAAGAAAUGUGUGUGCAGCUCAUGCCAGAAGCUUCAGGGAAUGACUGGGCUGCCCACUGCCUCUGUGGAUUUGAAUGGCAAGAGAACCAGUGGCUGCAGAUCCUAGAAGUGGAAUUUCAGGGCACAGUCAAAGUGGAAACUGAAGUCUGAGCUAUCCAGUUUCUCACAGCUGGCCAAGAAAUGGGAGUUUCAUUUUCUGCCUGUUGAAGAGCUGAAGAGGGAAGAGGUUGCUGCAAAUACUUUAGAGAGAUCAUCUGUUUUUAAAUAAUUCCUUUAUACUUAAAAAGCCUUCAAUAUUUUGAGUGUAUUCUUGUAUAGGACUGCUUUUUCUCCAGAUCAUCUCUACCUCCAGAAUCCUAAUUACUGAACCUCAACUCUCUGACAUGGGACAAGAUAUUGGAAAGUUUUCAUUAAUUACUAAAAGAUUAUGAGAGCCAUUUGAUUGCAAUACUGAUUGACACACAAUGGCAUCUGCUAUAUAAGAUGUAGUUCCCAAAAAGGAACAGCUACUGUAUGAAUUUAAUUCAUUAAUAUUUUGCUAUACCUUUUAUAAAUAAAGAGAGACAGAUCACAGAUUUAACAA
Columba livia (rock pigeon) is the source of this 3151-nucleotide RNA transcript. It is a transcript of the gene named solute carrier family 35 member D2, with no coding region annotated. The transcript is spliced from 12 exons. The record is from RefSeq and is a predicted model, not a curated record. NCBI's taxonomy places the organism in Eukaryota, Metazoa, Chordata, Aves, Columbiformes, Columbidae.